RNAcentral lists this long non-coding RNA (2969 nucleotides) under Erythranthe guttata (spotted monkey flower). RNAcentral's name for it is "long non-coding RNA (EGUT_LNC002629)". The record is from RNAcentral. Lineage: Eukaryota; Viridiplantae; Streptophyta; Magnoliopsida; Lamiales; Phrymaceae.
AGUCCCCUUCUCCUUCCCCCUCUCCAUCGAUCAAAAUAGCCCAAAGUAGAAGAAGAAAUCUCUUCUUCUAAUUCAAGCCUUCUCCAUUAACUCUCUUCCUUCUUCUUCUUCUUCUUCUUCUCGUUUUUCUUUCAUAAAUUCCUAGCUAGGAUAGUUCUUCAUCUCCAAAAGGAGAUUCUUCAACCACGAAGGUGGGUUUCAAAUAUAUACAAAGCCUUUCAAAUUCUCAAAGACCCUAAGGUAAGAAUCAUGGAAUUCUUGCUACAUCAAGCUAACAUCAAUAGUAUUUCCUUCUCUUCUCUUUUUGAAAAACUUCCCUUCUUGAUUGUUUGAAGAAAUUGAAAGUUCUAUGAAAGAAAGUGCUCAUAGUAUGUUAUAUUAUAUGUUUAGUCUCAUGCAUGUUAAGAUCCAUGCUUGAAUCCUUGAUCUUUGAUGAGAAAAAUGAUGAUGAUGAUUGAUAUGUUUAAUUCUAUGUUUAAGGCUUUGCAUGUGAGAAUCUAGCUAUUGAUUCUUGAUUCUUGAAAGAAAAUAGAAGAUUGGUGAGAAACCCGAAAUUUGAUGAUUACAUGCAAUGAAAUUUAUUAUCCUUAUGGUUCUAAUCAUUGCAUGUUAAUAUUAUUGAUUUACUAGUUGUGAUCUUAUAUGUUUAAGGUUUGGAUUUGAGGCAUCUAAGUUGAUUGAGUCUAGAAUCUUGAAAUAGAUGGUUAUAUGUAAAAUUUACAGAUUCAUAGGUACGGAUUUUAACCCAUGUUUCACCCACGAGUUUAUUUAUGAAAACUACGAAAUUUUAUAUCAGGAUAUAUCUCUCUGUUAUGGUCAUAUUGAUAUGUGGCUUGUAAUUUUUGGAGUAGAAAUAAAUGAGUUAUGAAUUAUUUACUGAAACUGUACAAAACUAGAGUUAGUUUAGAAUUAGUAAUGAAAUCUAAUGUUUUCCUCUUUCAAAUUUAGUGAUUACACUUGGAUUAGAACCCCAACAUAGAAAAAUCAUUUGGGAUAAUAUUUGGCAGUGUUUGACACAGUAGAUAAUUUAUAAGAAAUUUUUGAACUCUCCUCCCCUGUUCUGAGUUUUAAACUGCACUACUGUACCAUUUUAUUUAUUUAUCCUAGAUUCCUAAGUAUUUUCUAAAACUGUUUCUGUGGGAUUUAUAAGACUCCUAAUAGUAUAUGGAGUUUAAAUUUCAAAAGGUUUGGAUGAACCAGUAAAGCAAAAUAAAUUUUUAAAGUCACUCUCUCUGUUCAGAUUUCAAAACUGUACCACCUUAGAAAUUUAUUUAUAUGUUUUACUCCGAUGAUGAUUUUAUUAAACUGUUUCUUACUGGUUUUAAUGACAUAUAAAUAAAUAUGUUGUAAAAGUUUCAAAGACUUUUGAUAUGUGGUUCAAGAGAAAUGAUUUUUCAAAUUUAGGAUAUCAAAACUGUUUGAUUUUCUUAAGAUGACUAUUUUUAUCAAAGUAUUAUUUGUGGUCAUGGUCCUAAUAUCCGAGGUAGGAAAGAUAAGUUAGUGAUGAAGGUGAAAUCUCUAAGUUAUGGCCUAAUAAUCUAAGUUUAGGUAUCUUGUUGCAUGUCCUAAGAAAGAAUUACAAUCCACUAGCCUAGAAUGGUGUUAAGGAGCAAGUACCAUAUUUAGAAAAAUGAUUAAUUGACUUCUAUGAUAAGUUACAAUACUUGAUUAAUUUCGUAUAUUAUUUGUUAUUAUGUGUGGAACUUUUGAAAUAAUGGUGUAUGUAUUAAGUGAUUAGAGUAAAGUAAUGUCGUAUGUGAUAAUUUUCAUAAUUCAUGAUAUGAGUGAUAUUGAUAUGCUAUGAAUGACAUGGUUAUAUGAUUAUGUGAUUAUAAUAUGGUUAAAGUUGAAGAAUGCCCUUCUUGGUGCUGCUAUGUGAUAUUAAAUGUUUAUGUGUGCUUAUGAAAUUAAAUGUGAAAGUAAAAGUGCUAUGUUCUAUAUGAUUAUGUGUUCAAUGAUUUGAUAAAGGAUGUGAAAUAUAAUUGUUGUGGUGCUUGUUACCUUUAUGCUUGUUUAUGUGAAAGUAACAUAGAUAGAUCAUGUAAGCAUCAUAUGAUUCAUUAGUAUGUCUAAGAUGCAUAAAUCACGAUUUUUCAAAGUUAAAAAUGUUUGUAAAUUGAUUGUGGAUCUAGGUGAAUAAGUAUGGGAUACGGGGGGCUGGUAUUCCGUUAGUGGUUGAUAGUUGGGGUCAACAUAGGGGCCUGUCCACAUAGGAAUUGAUUCACAUAGGAAUCGGGAUUAUAAACCACUAACUCGGCUAUAGUAAAGUUAUAGCCGUGACUAUAUUCCGGUUAGUUGUUGAUAGUUGGGGUCCACAUAGGGACCUGUCCACAUAGGGACUGAUUCACAUAGGAAUCGGGAUUAUAAACCACUAACUCGGCUGUAGUAAAGUUAUAGUCGUGACUAUAGUAAAGUUAUAGAUCACAAGCUCCAAAACACACGGCUUAUUGCCGAACUCCACGAUUGUUUUUCCAAACGGGCCCAAUGUUUUCUCCUAAAAAGUUUUAAAAGUCUAAAGUCUCAUUUUCAUGCAUUUUGCAUAUUAAAGUAAAGGAAAGAAGGGUGUUAAGUACCCGACUUUUGAAAGAAAUGAAAAGAUGUUAAGUAUCCUUGAAAGAUUCAAAUGAAAAGUAAAGGUAAGGUAUAGUAAGUGUAAGUUUAAAUGAUCGUAAGUUUAUGUGUUCGUGUAUGCCUAUAUAUAUGUGUGUAUAUAUAUAAAUUAUGUGUAAAGACUUUUUCAAAACCUUGUUAUUACUUCCGGAUUCUUACUGAGUCUUUUUAAAGGCUCAUAUAGAUGUUAUCUUGGUGUAGGUAGCUCAUGAUCCGAAUCCGAGGAGCAAAGUUGAACCAAGUCCGGGGAAAGCCGAGGAAUCGAGCCGUAUGGAAUUUAUGUGGAUUUAAUUAACUUCCGUUUUGGUACUUCAAUCAUUUUAGUGGAUUGUAAUCCGUAGUACUUGAAUAUGUUAUCG